RNAcentral lists this microRNA precursor (126 nucleotides) under Myotis brandtii (Brandt's bat). RNAcentral's name for it is "mir-9193 microRNA precursor family". It matches the Rfam family "mir-9193 microRNA precursor family". Lineage: Eukaryota; Metazoa; Chordata; Mammalia; Chiroptera; Vespertilionidae. The record is from Rfam by way of RNAcentral.
UGUGCACCGGUGGGGUCCCUCAGCCUGGCCUGUGCCCUCUUGCAAUCCGGAACCCUUCAGGGGAUGUUGGAGAGCCGGUUUCGGACCAAUCCCACAGGCCAGGCUGAGGGACUCCAUUGGUGCACA